This 391-nucleotide ribosomal RNA is filed under the name uncultured bacterium. RNAcentral describes it as "bacterial SSU rRNA". It matches the Rfam family "Bacterial small subunit ribosomal RNA", at positions 505 to 898 of the family's 1533-position model. The record is from RNAcentral.
GUGUCAGCAGCCGCGGUAAUACGGAGGGUGCAAGCGUUAUCCGGAUUUACUGGGUUUAAAGGGUGUGUAGGCGGGUCUUUAAGUCAGUGGUGAAAUCUCCGAGCUUAACUUGGAAACUGCCAUUGAUACUAUUGAUCUUGAAUUCUGUUGAGGUGGGCGGAAUAUGUCAUGUAGCGGUGAAAUGCAUAGAUAUGACAUAGAACACCAAUUGCGAAGGCAGCUCACUAAGCAGAUAUUGACGCUGAGGCACGAAAGCGUGGGGAUCAAACAGGAUUAGAUACCCUGGUAGUCCACGCCCUAAACGAUGAUUACUCGACAUACGCGAUACACAGUGUGUGUCUGAGCGAAAGCAUUAAGUAAUCCACCUGGGAAGUACGACCGCAAGGUUGAA